Molecule: ribosomal RNA, 749 nt
Filed under: uncultured Capnocytophaga sp.
Lineage: Bacteria; Pseudomonadati; Bacteroidota; Flavobacteriia; Flavobacteriales; Flavobacteriaceae
Description: bacterial SSU rRNA
Rfam family: Bacterial small subunit ribosomal RNA
Source: RNAcentral
GAUGAACGCUAGCGGCAGGCCUAACACAUGCAAGUCGAGGGAGAGGUUAUCUUCGGGUAACCAAAACCGGCGCACGGGUGCGUAACGCGUAUACAAUCUGCCUUUCACAUAGGGAUAGCCCGAAGAAAUUUGGAUUAAUACCUAAUGGUAUAUAGGAGCGGCAUCGUUUUUAUAUUAAAGCUACGGUGGUGAAAGAUGAGUAUGCGUUCUAUUAGCUAGUUGGAGAGGUAACGGCUCCCCAAGGCGACGAUAGAUAGGGGUUCUGAGAGGGAUGUCCCCCACACUGGUACUGAGAUACGGACCAGACUCCUACGGGAGGCAGCAGUGAGGAGUAUUGGACAAUGGUCGGAAGACUGAUCCAGCCAUGCCGCGUGCAGGAUGAAGGUCCUAUGGAUUGUAAACUGCUUUUGUAAGGGAAGAAUAAGGAGUACGUGUACUUUGAUGACGGUACCUUACGAAUAAGCAUCGGCUAACUCCGUGCCAGCAGCCGCGGUAAUACGGAGGAUGCGAGCGUUAUCCGGAAUCAUUGGGUUUAAAGGGUCCGUAGGCGGGCUGAUAAGUCAGAGGUGAAAGCGCUUAGCUCAACUAAGCAACUGCCUUUGAAACUGUCAGUCUUGAAUGAUUGUGAAGUAGUUGGAAUGUGUAGUGUAGCGGUGAAAUGCUUAGAUAUUACACAGAACACCGAUAGCGAAGGCAUAUUACUAACAAUUUAUUGACGCUGAUGGACGAAAGCGUGGGGAGCGAACAGG